RNAcentral lists this ribosomal RNA (604 nucleotides) under Hortaea werneckii. RNAcentral's name for it is "eukaryotic LSU rRNA". It matches the Rfam family "Eukaryotic large subunit ribosomal RNA", at positions 37 to 668 of the family's 3401-position model. The record is from RNAcentral. Lineage: Eukaryota; Fungi; Ascomycota; Dothideomycetes; Mycosphaerellales; Teratosphaeriaceae.
UGCAUAUCAAUAAGCGGAGGAAAAGAAACCAACAGGGAUUGCCCUAGUAACGGCGAGUGAAGCGGCAACAGCUCAAAUUUGAAAUCUGGCGCAAGCCCGAGUUGUAAUUUGUAGAGGAUGCUUCUGGGCAGCGGCCGGUCUAAGUUCCUUGGAACAGGACGUCAUAGAGGGUGAGAAUCCCGUAUGCGACCGGCUUGCACCCGUCACGUAGCUCCUUCGACGAGUCGAGUUGUUUGGGAAUGCAGCUCUAAAUGGGAGGUAAAUUUCUUCUAAGGCUAAAUACCGGCCAGAGACCGAUAGCGCACAAGUAGAGUGAUCGAAAGAUGAAAAGCACUUUGGAAAGAGAGUUAAAAAGCACGUGAAAUUGUUGAAAGGGAAGCUCACGCAACCAGACUUGUCGGCGGUGUUCCGCCGGUCUUCUGACCGGUCUAUUCGCCGCCGGCAGGCCAGCAUCACUUGGGAGCGCCGGAUAAAGGCGUGCGGAAUGUAGCCCCUCGGGGCAUUAUAGCCGCGCGCACAAUACGGCGCCUCCCGAGUGAGGUCCGCGCUUCGGCUAGGAUGCUGGCGUAAUGGUUGCUUGAGGCCCGUCUUGAAACACGGACCA